GAUAUUAAUAGAUAUACCAACACUAAAUGACUACGUGUUUAAGGAAUUUGGUUCGGUUCAUCUAACCGAAAAUUUUCUUUAAAAAUUGAACCGAACUAAUCAAAAUAUACAAAAAACAAAAUUGAACUGAAUCUUCAUAAAAACCAAACCGAAUUAUCGUUUCAGCUUGAUUAUUUUGGUCCAAACUAAAUAGUGCUCUCCCCUAAUUAGUAGUUGCUUGAAACUGUAAAAUGUUUUUAUUUUUGUUUUGGCCUGUCAGGUCAAUUAUCUAUCUAAGAAGUAACCACAACACCUUUGUUGAUUGAACUUAUGUUACUUGAACUAGGGUAUGGGUGUCGAAAAUAGAUACAUAUCCAUGUAUUAGACAUGUAAACUUCCUAAGUAGAAAAUACGG
This 394-nucleotide unclassified non-coding RNA is filed under the name Hevea brasiliensis (rubber tree). The record is from RNAcentral. Lineage: Eukaryota; Viridiplantae; Streptophyta; Magnoliopsida; Malpighiales; Euphorbiaceae.